AUUGAACGCUGGCGGCAGGCCUAACACAUGCAAGUCGAGCGGAUGAAGGGAGCUUGCUCCUGGAUUCAGCGGCGGACGGGUGAGUAAUGCCUAGGAAUCUGCCUGGUAGUGGGGGAUAACGUCCGGAAACGGGCGCUAAUACCGCAUACGUCCUGAGGGAGAAAGUGGGGGAUCUUCGGACCUCACGCUAUCAGAUGAGCCUAGGUCGGGUUAGCUAGUUGGUGGGGUAAAGGCCUACCAAGGCGACGAUCCGUAACUGGUCUGAGAGGAUGAUCAGUCACACUGGAACUGAGACACGGUCCAGACUCCUACGGGAGGCAGCAGUGGGGAAUAUUGGACAAUGGGCGAAAGCCUGAUCCAGCCAUGCCGCGUGUGUGAAGAAGGUCUUCGGAUUGUAAAGCACUUUAAGUUGGGAGGAGGGGCAGUAAGUUAAUACCUUGCUGUUUUGACGUUACCAACAGAAUAAGCACCGGCUAACUUCGUG
RNAcentral lists this ribosomal RNA (484 nucleotides) under uncultured bacterium. RNAcentral's name for it is "partial 16S ribosomal RNA". It matches the Rfam family "Bacterial small subunit ribosomal RNA", at positions 30 to 507 of the family's 1533-position model. The record is from RNAcentral.